RNAcentral lists this ribosomal RNA (253 nucleotides) under uncultured bacterium. RNAcentral describes it as "partial 16S ribosomal RNA". It matches the Rfam family "Bacterial small subunit ribosomal RNA", at positions 524 to 776 of the family's 1533-position model. The record is from RNAcentral.
UACGUAGGGUGCAAGCGUUAAUCGGAAUUACUGGGCGUAAAGCGUGCGCAGGCGGUUUUGUAAGUCUGAUGUGAAAUCCCCGGGCUCAACCUGGGAAUUGCAUUGGAGACUGCAAGGCUAGAGUGUGUCAGAGGGGGGUAGAAUUCCACGUAUAGCAGUGAAAUGCGUAGAGAUGUGGAGGAACACCGAUGGCGAAGGCAGCCUCCUGGGCCAGCACUGACGCUCAUGCACGAAAGCGUGGGGAGCAAACAGG